RNAcentral lists this ribosomal RNA (497 nucleotides) under uncultured bacterium. RNAcentral's name for it is "partial 16S ribosomal RNA". It matches the Rfam family "Bacterial small subunit ribosomal RNA", at positions 28 to 507 of the family's 1533-position model. The record is from RNAcentral.
GAUGAACGCUGGCGGCGUGCCUAAUACAUGCAAGUCGAGCGAACGGACGAGAAGCUUGCUUUUCUGAUGUUAGCGGCGGACGGGUGAGUAACACGUGGAUAACCUACCUAUAAGACUGGGAUAACUUCGGGAAACCGGAGCUAAUACCGGAUAAUAUUUUGAACCGCAUGGUUCAAAAGUGAAAGACGGUCUUGCUGUCACUUAUAGAUGGAUCCGCGCUGCAUUAGCUAGUUGGUAAGGUAACGGCUUACCAAGGCAACGAUGCAUAGCCGACCUGAGAGAGUGAUCGGCCACACUGGAACUGAGACACGGUCCAGACUCCUACGGGAGGCAGCAGUAGGGAAUCUUCCGCAAUGGGCGAAAGCCUGACGGAGCAACGCCGCGUGAGUGAUGAAGGUCUUCGGAUCGUAAAACUCUGUUAUUAGGGAAGAACAUAUGUGUAAGUAACUGUGAACAUCUUGACGGUACCUAAUCAGAAAGCCACGGCUAACUACGUG